UUCAGCAAACAAAACACGUGCAUAUCCUAUCUUUCCAAAGCCCCGAUAAAACCCUAGCGGUCAUCCCUAUAAAUUCACCACCUUUGGUGCUUUUCCAUCUCAACUGGGCAACCCCUCAGGUUCAGCCUCUCUCUCUCUCUCUCUCUCCACGCAUAUGUUUGAGGUUUAAUCGUGAUGAAAGAGAAGAUCGCAGCGAUGACUUGGUGAAAUCCAAGCUCAACAGACCGGAAUGCAGGAUUUUCUCUUGCGAGAAAAUUUUGCGGGUCUCACUCUUUCCUUUUCUUUCUCUGUUUUUACAUUUCCAAAUCAUUUUUCACUGCAAGAAAUUCAUAGGCAACAAAAUUCUCGAAUCGUUAGCUGUUCUUAAAAUUAUUAUUAUUAUGGGUUAAAUUUUGGGCUUUUGAGUUUAUAUUUGAUUUGAAAUAGUUAUUGGGGGAAAUAGAGAUUGCAAUGAGGAUGACAAAGCUCCCUCUUCUGAGAUUUUAAGUUGAGGAAGUACGCUGGCAGAAUCGAACCUAAAACUCUUGAAGCCACUACUGAAUCAUGUAUAUAGCAAGGAAGAUAUAUUCAAUUUUCAUCUCUUUGGAUGAAGCAGCCAAAUUGAUGGUUUUGCGUUCUCCGCUGGAAAUAUAUUCCUCUAUCCAAAACGUUUUAGUGAUCAGUGGGGGUUGCUGUGUCACUUUGUGGACGUGGUAUUGAGAGGAAGUCAUCGAGAACGUGCAUGGCAGGGCAGAUAAAGAGACCCUCAAAUUUUCUCUAGAUUAUUUUUGUUUGAUUGUAAAAACGAAAAUGUGGAGAGAGCGUGGUCCACAGCCCAAUGAGCUGUGUAAUUUAUUGGUGGACGUGCUUGAAUCCUUAAUGAGUAAUUUAUUCUUGUAUCACGUCAAAGAUGGUAAAUAUAUGGAAUUGCAAUUUUCCAAGUUUUGGACUUA
Molecule: non-coding RNA, 932 nt
Organism: Corylus avellana
Lineage: Eukaryota; Viridiplantae; Streptophyta; Magnoliopsida; Fagales; Betulaceae
Source: RefSeq, a predicted model, not a curated record